Molecule: ribosomal RNA, 433 nt
Filed under: uncultured bacterium
Lineage: Bacteria
Description: bacterial SSU rRNA
Rfam family: Bacterial small subunit ribosomal RNA
Source: RNAcentral
UAAGGAAUAUUGGUCAAUGGACGCAAGUCUGAACCAGCCAUGCCGCGUGGAGGAUGAAGGUCCUCUGGAUUGUAAACUUCUUUUAUCUGGGACGAAACACUCCUUUUCUAAGGGGCCUGACGGUACCAGAUGAAUAAGCACCGGCUAACUCCGUGCCAGCAGCCGCGGUAAGACAGAGGGUGCAAACGUUGUUCGGAAUUACUGGGCGUAAAGCGUGUGUAGGCGGUCCUCUAAGUCGGGUGUGAAAGCCCUGGGCUCAACCCAGGAAGUGCACUCGAAACUGGAGGGCUAGAGUAUCGGAGAGGUUGGUGGAAUUCUCGGUGUAGAGGUGAAAUCGUAGAUAUCGAGAGGAACACCGGUGGCGAAGGCGGCCAACUGGACGAAUACUGACGCUGAGACACGAAAGCGUGGGGAGCAAACAGGAUUAGAUACC